GGGGAAUAUUGGACAAUGGGGGAAACCCUGGUCCAGCGACGCCGCGUGAAUGAAGAAGGCCUUCGGAUUGUAAAGUUCUUUUAUUGGGGAAGAUGAUGACGGUACCCAAUGAAUAAGUCCCGGCUAACUUCGUGCCAGCAGCCGCGGUAAUACGAAGGGGGCUAGCGUUGUUCGGAAUGACUGGGCGUAAAGGGUGCGUAGGCGGUGUGAUACGUUCGAUGUGAAAGUCCCGAGCUUAACUUGGGGAUUGCAUUGAAUACGGUUGCGCUAGAGUGCGAGAGGGGAAGAUGGAAUUGCUGGUGUAGAGGUGAAAUUCGUAGAUAUCAGCAAGAACACCGGAGGCGAAGGCGAUCUUCUGGCUCGUAACUGACGCUGAGGCACGAAAGCGUGGGGAGCAAAC
RNAcentral lists this ribosomal RNA (400 nucleotides) under uncultured bacterium. RNAcentral's name for it is "bacterial SSU rRNA". It matches the Rfam family "Bacterial small subunit ribosomal RNA", at positions 356 to 773 of the family's 1533-position model. The record is from RNAcentral.